CGACCAGGUUGGACAGCCGCGGCUGGAAUGUGAAAGCAUCCAGGUGAGGAAAGUCCGGGCUCCACAGGGCAAGGAUAACAGGUAACGCCUGCCGAGGGCGACCUCAGGACAAGUGCAACAGAGAGAUGUAGCCGGUUUUCCGGUCAUAGUGAAAAGGUGCGGUAAGAGCGCACCCGCCUCAUGGGAACAUUGGGGUGCUGUAAACUCUAUCCGGAGCAACGCCGUGGAGGAACAUAAGGUCUGCCCGACCGUUCCGAGGAGGCGGCUGGAUCCCGUGGGCGACUGCGGGACUAGAUAGAUGGCUGUCAGAACAGAACCCGGCUUACGGACCUGUGUCGCAAC
This 342-nucleotide RNase P RNA is filed under the name Oscillospiraceae bacterium. RNAcentral describes it as "RNase P RNA component class A". It matches the Rfam family "Bacterial RNase P class A". From Rfam's summary of the family: Ribonuclease P (RNase P) is a ubiquitous endoribonuclease, found in archaea, bacteria and eukarya as well as chloroplasts and mitochondria. Its best characterised activity is the generation of mature 5'-ends of tRNAs by cleaving the 5'-leader elements of precursor-tRNAs. Cellular RNase Ps are ribonucleoproteins. The record is from RNAcentral. Lineage: Bacteria; Bacillati; Bacillota; Clostridia; Eubacteriales; Oscillospiraceae.